This 542-nucleotide long non-coding RNA is filed under the name Trifolium pratense (red clover). Its description in RNAcentral is "long non-coding RNA (TPRA_LNC002075)". Lineage: Eukaryota; Viridiplantae; Streptophyta; Magnoliopsida; Fabales; Fabaceae. The record is from RNAcentral.
CAAUACUCAAUCACAACAAUUAAAACCCUAAGAAAACACCUCAAUGCUGACCUUUUAACGGAAUUCGAAAACCGGACGCUGAAUCCACAGUCGAUAGGAAUCAAGAAGCUCGAGUCGUUGGAAGUUCCGUCAUCUAUUUCCUGUACUGAAAAUUUCAAAAAAUGAAUUGUGAGAUUUACUAAAAAGUACUAAUUGUGAAAUUAGAAAAACAGUAGUAAAUAAAAUGGAAAACAAUAAACAGAAAAAGCACUAACAAAUCGAAUGAGUGGAAUGAUCGGAGAGGUUGGAAUUGUAUGAUCGUUUUGUUGCUUUGUCGUCGGGGAAACGUCGAUAACCACCGGAAUAAUCUUGCUGUGGCGCUGACGGAGUUGGGAAGGUUAAUUGAAAUUGAAACGGUGAGGGAUGUGAUGAAGCCGUUAUGGAACUCUCAAUGAGUAAGAAAAAUUGAGGUUGUGAGUGAGAAAACAAAAUUGUCUGUGCUGUGAGAGGGAGGGAAAAAAGUGUGAGAAGCAGGAAACAAAAACGGAUACAAUGGAAAAUCA